Acyrthosiphon pisum (pea aphid) is the source of this 1332-nucleotide long non-coding RNA. RefSeq lists it as uncharacterized. NCBI's taxonomy places the organism in Eukaryota, Metazoa, Arthropoda, Insecta, Hemiptera, Aphididae. The transcript is spliced from 2 exons. The record is from RefSeq and is a predicted model, not a curated record.
AUGAAAAAUAGUAAUAAUUUCCGUGAACAUUAAAAAAAAUGAGUUCUUCGUGCUUCUUAAAAUAUCACGAUAAGGUCGCGAUAAAAUAAUAACCCUGUAUACAAUAUAGAUAGUACCUAAUCACACUCAUAUUUAGCUAAGGAGGUACUAUUCAGAUGAGUAUUAAUUUAUAUAUAUAUAUUACUAGUGAUACGGCACGGCGCAUAUAUGAAGACGUAUAUUAUGACAUAGGAUUUACGCGUCAAAUAAAUAGCGAUAAUUGUUUAAGCACAUUUCGUAUGUACAUAACAAGAGUUAUUAAAAACAAACACUUCUACUUAUAUUCGGUGAAAUCGUAGUAACACUAUUACACUAAUACGCUAUAUUAUAGAAGCUGCGGACUCUUGUAUUAAUUAAUUUACUUAAGUUUUAAAUGCGCCAAGCUCAGUUACAUCAAUUGUGGAUAUAGUAAUAACAACUAAUACAAAUAAUAUAAAAUACUUGUAGCUAUAUGAAUUAAUAAGUCUAAUAUUCUAGUACAGUGAAAUCUCCACAAAUGGACAAAAGACAUCUUUCAAAUAGCGGACGUCUUUUUGGGAACAUCUAGUCCAUCACGCGCUAAUAGCUCAAUCGCGUGGAAAAUACAUCAAGUCAACAAUAAAAACGUAAAUCACGAUGAUGCAAUAUUAUACUGUUAUCACAGUAUAUGAUAACGAACUCAGCUUGGGUGAGUAAGCGUCAGACCACGCUGGACCACGGCAAAUCACAGGUUUCAAGUGGGAUUUUGUGGGGCCCAUAACACUUCAAAAUAAUAUUGCUAUUAAUGUUCGCAAUACGGUCAAUCCUACAACUGUUAUUAUUCUCUUCUCCUCGUAUAAUAUAGGUAUGUACAUUAUACAUGAUUAGUAAUCACUGCGAUUUAAUCGUAGAACAAUUACGUUUUAAAAAGCUAUAAAUAUUGUUCUCGUUUAAUAAAUAUAUAUAAUAAUAAUAAUAACGAUUAUAUUGUAUAAUAUCGCGUGCAAUCGUAGUGGUGUACUAAAAUAUGUUUUCAUCAACGAAACCUAAAUAAUAAUAAUAAAAUAUACGUGUACGACGUUCGUUUACCUUGUACCUGUAUGUAAAUAUAAUAAUGUAAUAUAAUAAUAAUUAUAACUACGCAUGCAUAUUGUAGGUAAAAGAAAAAACGAGUCAGCCGUUCAUGAUGGUGAUGUGCCGGAUUUACCUAAUUGCUACAAUACACAUGUAAGAUAAAGCUCAAGAUAUACUUGGGUAGAGGUCGUAUAUAGGUGAGUAGGUAGAUACCUAAACGGCGGAGGCGGUCAGUAGAAUUGUAUAUAAUUGGAUUUUCGC